AUACGGAGGGUCCAAGCGUUAUCCGGAUUCAUUGGGUUUAAAGGGUCCGCAGGCGGGAAAAUAAGUCAGUGGUGAAAGCCUACAGCUCAACUGUAGAACUGCCAUUGAUACUGUUCUUCUUGAGUAUAGAUGAAGUGGGCGGAAUAUAUCAUGUAGCGGUGAAAUGCAUAGAUAUGAUAUAGAACACCGAUUGCGAAGGCAGCUCACUAAACUAUUACUGACGCUCAGGGACGAAAGCGUGGGGAGCGAACAGGAUUAGAAACCCCAGUAGUCC
Molecule: ribosomal RNA, 274 nt
Filed under: uncultured bacterium
Lineage: Bacteria
Description: partial 16S ribosomal RNA
Rfam family: Bacterial small subunit ribosomal RNA
Source: RNAcentral